Long non-coding RNA from Helicoverpa armigera (cotton bollworm), 303 nucleotides. RefSeq lists it as uncharacterized. The record is from RefSeq and is a predicted model, not a curated record. NCBI's taxonomy places the organism in Eukaryota, Metazoa, Arthropoda, Insecta, Lepidoptera, Noctuidae. The transcript is spliced from 2 exons.
UUCUCACUUAUAAUACCACAAGAGCUUCAAAAUUAUCGGGUAUUUUCCGAUAGGUUCGUUGCAAACAAAUGAAGGAGUCAAGUUUUUCAGGUUAAAAAAUAACGAGCGCGAAGCGCGAGUGAUUUUUCCUGAAAAACUUGACGACUUUAUUUGUUUGCAGGGAACCUUGAGGGAAAUGCCAGAUAAUUUUGAAGCUCGUGUGGUAUUCGGGGGAUUAUUUUUCCGUCCCAAAUGUCGGCCACAACCUGUCAGUUUGACGUAGCAACGACCAGAGAAAAUAUUCAAAAAAAAUUAUCAGUAUAA